UACGGAGGGUGCAAGCGUUAUCCGGAUUUACUGGGUUUAAAGGGUGCGUAGGUGGGUAGGAAAGUCAGUGGUGAAAUCUUCGGGCUUAACCCGGAAACUGCCAUUGAUACUAUUUAUCUUGAAUACUUUGGAGGUAAGCGGAAUAUGUCAUGUAGCGGUGAAAUGCCUAGAUAUGACAUAGAACACCAAUUGCGAAGGCAGCUUACUACAGGGGCAUUGACACUGAGGCACGAAAGCGUGGGGAUCAAACAGG
Molecule: ribosomal RNA, 253 nt
Filed under: uncultured bacterium
Lineage: Bacteria
Description: partial 16S ribosomal RNA
Rfam family: Bacterial small subunit ribosomal RNA
Source: RNAcentral